GGUAGAGAUGGGUGCCAGGAGCGAGGGGCAGAUGCCUGCCAGGGCUGUCCUGCAACACAGCACUGCCUCCAUGCAUAGGAGGAAACUGAGGCCCCGUGGGGCUCAGUGACCUUCCCAAGGGCCCUGGGGUGCAAGCCUGGGCCUGCGUUCUUUGUGCUGCCCCCGUGGCCUGAGACCCCUGGGCCGAGCGCCCCUGGGCUGUUCACAGGAAGAAGGAGGAGAAGCAAUGGUUCCCAGGCAUGAAUAGGCGUCAGAAUCAUCUAGAACACUUGUCCACAGUGCAGAACCAGGCCGCCCCAGACCUGCUCCAGGAGACCCUGAGCCGAUGUCGGCUUCAUGAAGGCCCGGCGCACAGUGCGGGCACUGAGGGCUGCUGCCUGGGUGCUAGCGCUUUCCUCUCUGCCACUCGGCUCUCAGGGAAGUGCCAGCUUCCAUGCAGGAGGCCCAGUCUGGAGCCAGACCCUGCCACCUGCCAGCAGCCGUGUGGCCAUGGCCAGGUCACCUCCCUGAGCUUGGGUUCCUCGUCUGCAAGGGGGCCUAUCCAGUGCCUAAUGAGAGUCCAACCGGAGGGCAACUGGGAGGUGAGGCCCAGGGGGUCUGCCUGGUGGAGGUGGCCCACAGUCCUGUCUGUGCAUCCUCUGAUGGCACCUGUCAG
This 655-nucleotide long non-coding RNA is filed under the name Equus caballus (horse). RNAcentral describes it as "lncRNA (ENSECAG00000051186.1)". Lineage: Eukaryota; Metazoa; Chordata; Mammalia; Perissodactyla; Equidae. The record is from RNAcentral.